GACGAACGCUGGCGGCGUGCUUAACACAUGCAAGUCGAACGGAAAGGCCCUGCUUUUGUGGGGUGCUCGAGUGGCGAACGGGUGAGUAACACGUGAGUAACCUGCCCUUGACUUUGGGAUAACUUCAGGAAACUGGGGCUAAUACCGGAUAGGAGCUCCUGCUGCAUGGUGGGGGUUGGAAAGUUUCGGCGGUUGGGGAUGGACUCGCGGCUUAUCAGCUUGUUGGUGGGGUAGUGGCUUACCAAGGCUUUGACGGGUAGCCGGCCUGAGAGGGUGACCGGCCACAUUGGGACUGAGAUACGGCCCGGACUCCUACGGGAGGCAGCAGUGGGGAAUAUUGCACAAUGGGCGGAAGCCUGAUGCAGCAACGCCGCGUGCGGGAUGACGGCCUUCGGGUGGUAAACCGCUUUCGCCUGUGACGAAGCGUGAGUGACGGAAAUGGGUAAAGAAGCACCGGCUAACUACGU
This 467-nucleotide ribosomal RNA is filed under the name uncultured bacterium. RNAcentral describes it as "partial 16S ribosomal RNA". It matches the Rfam family "Bacterial small subunit ribosomal RNA", at positions 28 to 506 of the family's 1533-position model. The record is from RNAcentral.